UUUUUGAUAUAUGAAUUAAGUUUCCUUCGGGUCUUUGUGUGCGUUUGUUUGGGAUUUUGGAUUUCUCCGUUGGCCAGAGUCAACUGGCGGCCCCCGGGUCGCUUGAAGACUGCCGUUGCAGCGGAAACAUUGCGUGCCCAUGUGUUGUUCGCCAGAAGGAAAGCACGGCAGCGGACCGAGGAAACCGCAGGAAUAUGGUAAGAACGAUAGGAGAAAUCGGUGGAGGUGGAUACUUCGUGUGCCCUGGGUGUGAAGUUUGAAGCGGCCAGAAUACACGCGAUUCGCCACGGGGUCAACGGUUAACUUCGGACUCGCCCGGAUACAUUUUAACAUCAGUAUACAAAUCCAAUGACAAGAGACCCAGCUGAGUACCUCUGACGUCCGAGAGAUCCCUCCAAGUAGAACCAUGACAAGACCUGUACAAAAAAUCACGAUGAUGUGCAUGAUUUACGGUCUUUGGUCAGACAAUGUGAGAAAAGAAAAGCAAAGUCCAAACGUGAAUUCAUUUAAAUAAUUAAAUCAUGAU
Drosophila suzukii is the source of this 526-nucleotide non-coding RNA. The record is from RefSeq and is a predicted model, not a curated record. Lineage: Eukaryota; Metazoa; Arthropoda; Insecta; Diptera; Drosophilidae.